This 292-nucleotide ribosomal RNA is filed under the name uncultured bacterium. RNAcentral describes it as "partial 16S ribosomal RNA". It matches the Rfam family "Bacterial small subunit ribosomal RNA", at positions 505 to 796 of the family's 1533-position model. The record is from RNAcentral.
GUGACAGCAGCCGCGGUAAUACAGAGAGUGCGAACGUUGUUCGGAAUUACUGGGCUUAAAGCGCACGUAGGCGGCGCCACAAGUGCAGGGUGAAAUCCCACGGCUUACCCGUGGAACUGCCCUGUAGACUGUGGUGCUCGAGGAUGGUAGGGGAGAGCGGAACUCCUGGUGGAGCGGUGAAAUGCGUAGAUAUCAGGAGGAACACCGGUGGCGAAGGCGGCUCUCUGGUCCACUUCUGACGCUGAGGUGCGAAAGCUAGGGGAGCAAACGGGAUUAGAUACCCUUGUAGUCC